Molecule: transfer RNA, 67 nt
Filed under: Trachys auricollis
Lineage: Eukaryota; Metazoa; Arthropoda; Insecta; Coleoptera; Buprestidae
Description: tRNA-Asn
Source: RNAcentral
UUUAAUUGAAACCAAAAAGAGGUAUAUCACUGUUAAUGAUAUAAAUGAGAUCACACUCCAAUUAAAG